RNAcentral lists this ribosomal RNA (241 nucleotides) under uncultured soil bacterium. RNAcentral's name for it is "partial 16S ribosomal RNA". It matches the Rfam family "Bacterial small subunit ribosomal RNA", at positions 26 to 270 of the family's 1533-position model. The record is from RNAcentral.
AGAUUGAACGCUGGCGGCAUGCUUUACACAUGCAAGUCGAACGGUAACAGGCCGCAAGGUGCUGACGAGUGGCGAACGGGUGAGUAAUGCAUCGGAACGUGCCCAGUCGUGGGGGAUAACGCAGCGAAAGCUGUGCUAAUACCGCAUACGAUCUAUGGAUGAAAGCGGGGGACCGAAAGGCCUCGCGCGAUUGGAGCGGCCGAUGUCAGAUUAGCUAGUUGGUGGGGUAAACGGCCCACCG